AUGAUCCCUACCUUAUUGACCGCAACUUCUGUAUUUAUUAUCGCCUUCAUCGCUGCUCCUCUAGUAGAUAUUGAUGGUAUUUGUGAGCCUGUUUUUGGUUCUUUACUUUAUGGAAACAAUAUUAUCUCUGGUGCUAUUAUCCCUACUUCCGCGGUGAUCGGAUUGCACUUUUACCCAAUUUGGGAAGAUGCAUCUGUUGAUGAAUGGUUAUACAAUGGUGGUCCUUAUGAGCUAAUUGUUCUACACUUCUUACUUAGUAUAGAUUGUUAUAUGGGUCGUGAGUGGGAACUUAGUUUCCGUCUGGGUAUGCGUUCUUGGAUUGUUGUUGCAUAUUCAGCUCCUGUUGCAGCUCCUACUACUGUUUUCUUGAUUUACCCUAUUGGUCAAGGAAGCUUUUCUGAUGGUAUGCCUUAG
RNAcentral lists this ribosomal RNA (414 nucleotides) under Triticum aestivum (bread wheat). RNAcentral's name for it is "partial small subunit ribosomal RNA". The record is from RNAcentral. Lineage: Eukaryota; Viridiplantae; Streptophyta; Magnoliopsida; Poales; Poaceae.